This 410-nucleotide ribosomal RNA is filed under the name uncultured bacterium. Its description in RNAcentral is "bacterial SSU rRNA". It matches the Rfam family "Bacterial small subunit ribosomal RNA", at positions 30 to 444 of the family's 1533-position model. The record is from RNAcentral.
AUUGAACGCUGGCGGCAUGCCUUACACAUGCAAGUCGAACGGCAGCGCGGGGCAACCUGGCGGCGAGUGGCGAACGGGUGAGUAAUAUAUCGGAACAUACCCUAGAGUGGGGGAUAACGUAGCGAAAGUUACGCUAAUACCGCAUACGCACUAAGGUGGAAAGUGGGGGAUCUUCGGACCUCAUGCUCAUGGAGUGGCCGAUAUCUGAUUAGCUAGUUGGUGAGGUAAAGGCUCACCAAGGCGACGAUCAGUAGCUGGUUUGAGAGAACGACCAGCCACACUGGAACUGAGACACGGUCCAGACUCCUACGGGAGGCAGCAGUGGGGAAUUUUGGACAAUGGGGGCAACCCUGGUCCAGCAAUGCCGCGUGAGUGAAGAAGGCCUCGGUUGUAAGACUCUUUGUUCAGGG